This 382-nucleotide ribosomal RNA is filed under the name uncultured eukaryote. RNAcentral describes it as "partial 18S ribosomal RNA". It matches the Rfam family "Eukaryotic small subunit ribosomal RNA", at positions 592 to 976 of the family's 1831-position model. The record is from RNAcentral.
CAAUAGCGUAUAUUAAAGUUGUUGCAGUUAAAAAGCUCGUAGUUGGACUUCUGCGGGUGGCGGCCGGUCGUGCUCGAACCGGGCGUGAACUUGGCGUGCUGCCCGCAUCUUUGGGGAGAUUGUGCGUGGCAUUAAGUUGUCGUGCAUGGGAUUCUCAUCAUUUACUGUGAAAAAAUUAGAGUGUUUAAAGCAGGCCUUUGCCUUGAAUACAUUAGCAUGGAAUAAUAAGAUAGGACCGUUGUCUAUUUUGUUGGUUUACAGAUGUCGGUAAUGAUUAAUAGGGAUAGUUGGGGGUAUUCGUAUUCAGUUGUCAGAGGUGAAAUUCUUGGAUUUUCGGAAGACGCACGACUGCGAAANCANNNACCAAGGAUGUUUNCAUNAA